Danio aesculapii is the source of this 1311-nucleotide long non-coding RNA. RefSeq lists it as uncharacterized. NCBI's taxonomy places the organism in Eukaryota, Metazoa, Chordata, Actinopteri, Cypriniformes, Danionidae. The record is from RefSeq and is a predicted model, not a curated record. The transcript is spliced from 3 exons.
GUGAAAUAGUUGAAUAAUUAUUUAUAAUAUUAUUCAGAGCAGUAUAAUCAUAUUAUUAUUAUAUCUACAAGUCUUUAUUAAUAUAAUAAGCAAAAUAAAAUUCAUGUAUACAAAUGUAGUUUAAGGUAAAGUAACAGCCAAUUGUAGGAGCGGGUUGUUAGCUCCGCCCCUUCCAGCUUGCCGGCAGAGAGAGACACGGAGCAGAGACGAGACCGGUUAUCUGAGCAAUAGAGAGGAGUAAACUUGAACAAAAAGGAUAGAAUACGUGCACUGACGCCAUUUUGAAAUCGCGUGUGUGUGAAAAGGCCAUAGAGAGAUAAAGGCAUUGUGAAUUUGACAGGCCAGGUUUUUUUCUGAGGAGAUUUUCCCGGUUUCCCUGGAUUCUUUGUAUUGAUGGCGAGCCUCCCACGUCGACCUGGAAAGUCGUGAAGUACCCAAAUUUUCAGUUUAUCCUCCUUUCACCGGAUAAAGUAAGAAUAUACCAAAAAGUUAUUUCCUUUAAUGGACUGGGAUUCCGAACACAGCUGUAAGGACUGAUUUUCUUGACAGAAAAAACAGAACUUGAACUUAAUUGAACUGAGUUCACUGAUUUCAGUGUGAACAACCAUACUGAUUUAUUUGUGUUAUUUUUAUGGUUUCUUUUGGUUUUACUUGAACUCAUUUAUUGUGAUUUUGUUUUUGAUUUAUGACAAUUGUAAAGUGGGUGCACCCUGGGGACCAUGUGUAAAUAGUUUUGUAUUUCUAAGGUAAUUAUUGUUUUCUGAGAAAAAUAUAAGGAAAGAGAAAAAAACAUACAAUCCAAAGUAAAAGUAUUUUUAUAUUUAAAACAUACCUUUUGUGUCUGGUUAUUGCUCAGUUACACCCCCACCUCCUUUUACUUACCUUGAAGUCUUCUGAUUAUAUUGUCUGGUCCAAUAUUACAUAAAUUCAGUACACCCGUUACAAAUGUGGCGAGCCAGCCAGGAGGUGGCGCUGUAGCUGAGUAAUAAUUUUUAUAUAAGCAACUAAAAUAUAAUCUUUUGACAUUCAACUUAGGAAAAAAUAUAUAUAAUAAAUAUCUAACUAAAUAUGGAUAUAGUUGAGGCAGAGAACAUUAAAAUUCCAAACUCCCUGAUUAUCAGUGGCUUGACUAACACAGAGCAUGAUGAAGAAUUAAUGGACAUACUGAAAAGAUAUGGUUCUUUUUCAAGAACUUUUGUCAUCAGUGACAGAGAAUCAGCAUUCUAUCAGAACACAAUAAUUGAGUAUAACAGUGGUCAAGCCUUGCAGUCUCUUGAAUCCCAGCUGCCUUAUACUCACCAGUCAUCAAGU